GUUGUUUUAAGCAAAUAAAAUGUGGAACGUCCUUAUACGUGUUUAAGGAGGGGUUGUAAAGGUGCUCAUAUCUUCGGACCUCUUCUGUUAUGUUUGUUCAUAAUCAACAAGAAUAAGCUUGUGAGACAGUCUGCAGGAUAUUCAUAAAAAACCGUGUCAUUAGUAUGAACAGUUGAGACAACUUAUCCCUCUUUCGUCUUCCGGGUCACAACCUGGCAGGGAGAGAGGGAGCAUGCGCAAAGACGCAAAGUCCAGUUCCUUAUCCAAUUCACCGUUACAUGCCGCAAUAGUCGAACUAUCAACUGGAUCGGAUCGAGUUAUCCAGGGGUGUUAGUCCGACUAUGUGCGGUCCGACUACGAUCCGACUAAGGUGCUUACAUGAAACGGAUAAUGCGAUUUCAGUCCGACUAAGGCAGUUAUUCGAAUCCAUGUAACCACGGUCACUGCAAGGAUGGAAGUUUUUCACAAGAUUGGAAGAAGCACAGUUCGUCCCUUCUAAUCACUUCUGGUCUAAACAUGCUCUUGUACAUAUGCUAAGUGGCACCUAAUAAUCUUAGUUACACACACGCACACAGAAACACAGAAAAGCCACGUUCCUGCUUUCAUAAGCACAUGAUUCAUACAAGGAAUAUAUUAAUACAAGGCACUUGAUUCAUAUAUUCUUAAGUAACAGUGUUUGGAAAUUAUCUCCAUCACUGCAAAUGGAGGAUUAUUUGAUGAACAGAAAUCAUUAUUUCUAACUUUGACAAAGUCUUGAGUAUAUUUUUGAUUGAUUUUGUACCUUAUUUGAUGGUUAAAAAAAUAUGAGAUUUCCUGAAAUAUUUCAUUGCCUGGGUGUUUCCAAACUUUCAAAGGGAAGUGUAUAAUUUCACUAUGUUAGUCCAUGUCUAGCUUGAUGUAAUAAAAAACAAUUACCUCCCCACAAACAUAAUAAUUUCCUGCAAAGGUAAUUAAUUAUUACGUUUGUGGUGGGCAACCGUUAUUUCGUUUGUGGGAAGCUAUUACGUUUGUAGGUGUAAUCAUACUUGGGGACAAACAGACAGAUAACAUACUUGGGUACAGACAGGCAAAGAGACUGAUAACAUACUUGGAUAGGUAAAACAGGUAGACAGAUAGACAGCAUUCUUGGUUAAGAAAAAGGUAGUGGUGAGGGUAAAAGGAAAUUUUAAAAGUGUCCAUCAAGCAAUUUCUAUCUUUUAGAUAGAUGGAUUAAAAUAGCUAUUUGCUUUUUUGGAUCAGAGGAAAUUGCUACGUUGUAGAAAAUGUAGGCCUACAUAUUGUUCACAUAUUGGCCAUUCAUGUUACCAUUUCAUAGAUAAUGUUUUCGAGGACAGCAGAAAAUAGUAGUGCUCGUGCUAUGUCUGUGGUGGAGAGAAAGAACUCAAGGAGGACAUAGGACAUAGCUCUGCCCCAACCUUGUAGCUUGACAUGGAGAAGCGUUACCCACGUGACCUCCUCAUGACCCCCGAGCAGCUUGAACCACUUCUGGUGAUCGUUGGACCAGACCUGACAAAACAUUCUACUGCUUGCCAAAAGCCUAUGGAGCCAAAGCAGCGGCUUGCUGUCAUUUUAAGGUAAGCUCUCAAAACCAUCUACAUACAUUAGGCAAUGAUAGUAGGAUAUUUAGUUGAGAACAUUCAGGUGUGUUGGAAUGAGGAUAAAAAUAAUUUGGGGUGACAUUGUUCCAGUGAGGUAAUGCGGUAUGGGGUAUCCUUCGUUGGCUCAAGUAGCGCCUUGACUGGCCUGUCCCUCAUUUCCUUCUGCUUAGCCAACACUUCCAGAACCAGUAAAAUGUGUUACUACAGUGGGGAAAAUAAGUAUUUGAACCCCUGCCGAUUUCGCGAGUUUGCCCACUUGCAAAGAAAUGUGUGAUCUAUAAUUGUAAUGGUAGGUCUAUUUUAACAGUGAGAGACAGAAUAUCAACAAAAACAUCCAGAAAAUUGCAUUUUAUAACAUUUAUGAAUUGAUUUGCGGCAAAUAAGUAUUUGAACCCCUAGCAAAACAUGACUUAGUACUUGGUGGAGAAACCCUUGUUGGCAAGCACAGACGUCAGACUGUUCUUCUAGUUGGUCACCAGGUUUACACACAUCUCAGGAGGGAUUUUGGUCCACUCCUCUUUGCAGAUCUUCUCCAAAUCCUUAAGGUUGCGUUUUCAAUGGGAGGGAAUGAGGUUCAAGCCCAAUAGUCUACGGUACAUGGCCCCAUCCAUAGUCCCCUUGAUGUGGUGGAGUCAUCCUGUACCCUUGGCAGAGAAACAGCCCCAA
This is a long non-coding RNA of Clupea harengus (Atlantic herring), 2264 nucleotides long. The record is from Ensembl. NCBI's taxonomy places the organism in Eukaryota, Metazoa, Chordata, Actinopteri, Clupeiformes, Clupeidae.